GAUGAACGCUGGCGGCGUGCCUAAUACAUGCAAGUCGAGCGAAUGGAUUAAGAGCUUGCUCUUAUGAAGUUAGCGGCGGACGGGUGAGUAACACGUGGGUAACCUGCCCAUAAGACUGGGAUAACUCCGGGAAACCGGGGCUAAUACCGGAUAACAUUUUGAACCGCAUGGUUCGAAAUUGAAAGGCGGCUUCGGCUGUCACUUAUGGAUGGACCCGCGUCGCAUUAGCUAGUUGGUGAGGUAACGGCUCACCAAGGCAACGAUGCGUAGCCGACCUGAGAGGGUGACCGGCCACACUGGGACUGGGACACGGCCCAGACUCCUACGGGAGGCAGCAGUAGGGAAUCUUCCGCAAUGGACGAAAGUCUGACGGAGCAACGCCGCGUGAGUGAUGAAGGCUUUCGGGUCGUAAAACUCUGUUGUUAGGGAAGAACAAGUGCUAGUUGAAUAAGCAGGCACCUUGACGGUACCUAACCAGAAAGCCACGGCUAACUACGUGCCAGCCGCCGCGGUAA
This 515-nucleotide ribosomal RNA is filed under the name uncultured bacterium. Its description in RNAcentral is "partial 16S ribosomal RNA". It matches the Rfam family "Bacterial small subunit ribosomal RNA", at positions 28 to 523 of the family's 1533-position model. The record is from RNAcentral.